UACGUAGGGUGCAAGCGUUAAUCGGAAUUACUGGGCGUAAAGCGUGCGCAGGCGGUUGGGCAAGACAGGUGUGAAAUCCCCGGGCUUAACCUGGGAAUUGCAUUUGUGACUGUACGGCUAGAGUGUGUCAGAGGGGGGUAGAAUUCCACGUGUAGCAGUGAAAUGCGUAGAGAUGUGGAGGAAUACCGAUGGCGAAGGCAGCCCCCUGGGAUAACACUGACGCUCAUGCACGAAAGCGUGGGGAGCAAACAGG
RNAcentral lists this ribosomal RNA (253 nucleotides) under uncultured bacterium. Its description in RNAcentral is "partial 16S ribosomal RNA". It matches the Rfam family "Bacterial small subunit ribosomal RNA", at positions 524 to 776 of the family's 1533-position model. The record is from RNAcentral.